UGGGGAAUAUUGCACAAUGGGGGAAACCCUGAUGCAGCGACGCCGCGUGAGCGAAGAAGGCUUUCGAGUCGUAAAGCUCUGUCCUAUGAGAAGAUAAUGACGGUAUCAUAGGAGGAAGCCCCGGCUAAAUACGUGCCAGCAGCCGCGGUAAUACGUAUGGGGCGAGCGUUGUCCGGAAUUAUUGGGCGUAAAGGGUACGUAGGCGGUCUAUUAAGUCAGGUGUGAAAGCGUGAGGCUUAACCUCAUUAAGCACUUGAAACUGAUAGACUUGAGUGAAGGAGAGGAAAGUGGAAUUCCUAGUGUAGCGAUGAAAUGCGUAGAUAUUAGGAGGAACACCAGUAGCGAAGGCGGCUUUCUGGACUGCAACUGACACUGAGGCACGAAAGCGUGGGUAGCAAACAGG
This 403-nucleotide ribosomal RNA is filed under the name Verrucomicrobiota bacterium. RNAcentral's name for it is "Verrucomicrobia bacterium partial 16S ribosomal RNA". It matches the Rfam family "Bacterial small subunit ribosomal RNA", at positions 355 to 776 of the family's 1533-position model. The record is from RNAcentral. Lineage: Bacteria; Pseudomonadati; Verrucomicrobiota.